This 809-nucleotide ribosomal RNA is filed under the name Madurella pseudomycetomatis (nom. inval.). Its description in RNAcentral is "eukaryotic LSU rRNA". It matches the Rfam family "Eukaryotic large subunit ribosomal RNA", at positions 75 to 918 of the family's 3401-position model. The record is from RNAcentral. Lineage: Eukaryota; Fungi; Ascomycota; Sordariomycetes; Sordariales.
UUGCCCUAGUAACGGCGAGUGAAGCGGCAACAGCUCAAAUUUGAAAUCUGGCCUCGGCCCGAGUUGUAAUUUGUAGAGGAAGCUUUUGGCGCGGCACCUUCUGAGUCCCCUGGAACGGGGCGCCAUAGAGGGUGAGAGCCCCGUAUAGUUGGAUGCCUAGCCUCUGUAAAGCUCCUUCGACGAGUCGAGUAGUUUGGGAAUGCUGCUCAAAACGGGAGGUAAAUUUCUUCUAAAGCUAAAUACCGGCCAGAGACCGAUAGCGCACAAGUAGAGUGAUCGAAAGAUGAAAAGCACUUUGAAAAGAGGGUUAAAUAGCACGUGAAAUUGUUGAAAGGGAAGCGCUUGUGACCAGACUUGCGCCGGGCUGAUCAUCCGGUGUUCUCACCGGUGCACUCUGCCCGGCUCAGGCCAGCAUCGGUUCUCGCGGGGGGAUAAAGGCCCUGGGAACGUAGCUCCUCCGGGAGUGUUAUAGCCCAGGGCGCAAUGCCCUCGCGGGGACCGAGGUUCGCGCUCUGCAAGGAUGCUGGCGUAAUGGUCACCAGCGACCCGUCUUGAAACACGGACCAAGGAGUCAAGGUUUUGCGCGAGUGUUUGGGUGUAAAACCCGCACGCGUAAUGAAAGUGAACGUAGGUGAGAGCUUCGGCGCAUCAUCGACCGAUCCUGAUGUAUUCGGAUGGAUUUGAGUAGGAGCGUUAAGCCUUGGACCCGAAAGAUGGUGAACUAUGCUUGGAUAGGGUGAAGCCAGAGGAAACUCUGGUGGAGGCUCGCAGCGGUUCUGACGUGCAAAUCGAUCGUCAAAUCUGAGCAU